This 347-nucleotide unclassified non-coding RNA is filed under the name soil metagenome. Its description in RNAcentral is "partial contains 5.8S ribosomal RNA, internal transcribed spacer 2, and large subunit ribosomal RNA". The stretch from base 1 to 119 matches the Rfam family "5.8S ribosomal RNA", at positions 35 to 154 of the family's 154-position model. The record is from RNAcentral.
GAUGAAGAACGUAGCAAAAUGCGAUAAGUAUGUGAAUUGCAGAAUUCAGUGAAUCAUCGAAUCUUUGAACGCACAUUGCGCCCGCUGGUAUUCCGGCGGGCAUGCCUGUUCGAGCGUCAUUUCAACCCUCAAGCCCCCGGGUUUGGUGUUGGGGAUCGGCUCUGCCCUUCUGGGCGGUGCCGCCCCCGAAAUACAUUGGCGGUCUCGCUGCAGCCUCCAUUGCGUAGUAGCUAACACCUCGCAACUGGAACGCGGCGCGGCCAUGCCGUAAAACCCCAACUUCUGAAUGUUGACCUCGGAUCAGGUAGGAAUACCCGCUGAACUUAAGCAUAUCAAUAAGCGGAGGA